This 711-nucleotide ribosomal RNA is filed under the name Vishniacozyma victoriae. Its description in RNAcentral is "LSU rRNA". It matches the Rfam family "Eukaryotic large subunit ribosomal RNA", at positions 1 to 682 of the family's 3401-position model. Lineage: Eukaryota; Fungi; Basidiomycota; Tremellomycetes; Tremellales; Bulleribasidiaceae. The record is from RNAcentral.
AACCCCACAUAUUCAUGAUCUGGCCUCAAAUCAGGUAGGGCUACCCGCUGAACUUAAGCAUAUCAAUAAGCGGAGGAAAAGAAACUAACUAGGAUUCCCUUAGUAACGGCGAGUGAACCGGGAUGAGCUCAAAUUUAAAAUCUGGCGUCUUUCAGGCGUCCGAGUUGUAAUCUAUAGAGGCGUUUUCCGCGCCGGACCGCGUCCAAGUCUCUUGGAAUAGAGUAUCAAAGAGGGUGACAAUCCCGUACUUGACGCGACAACCGGUGCUCUGUGAUACGUUCUCAAUGAGUCGAGUUGUUUGGGAAUGCAGCUCUAAAUGGGUGGUAAAUUCCAUCUAAGGCUAAAUAUUGGCGAGAGACCGAUAGCGAACAAGUACCGUGAGGGAAAGAUGAAAAGCACUUUGGAAAGAGAGUUAAACAGCACGUGAAAUUGUUAAAAGGGAAACGAUUGAAGUCAGUCGUGUGAAAGGUAUUCAGCCGUCUCUGGCGGUGUAUUUGCCUUUCACGGGUCAACAUCAGUUUGAUCCGGUAGAAAAAGGCGGGAGGAAGGUGGCACCCUCGGGUGUGUUAUAGCCUCCUGUCAUAUGUGCCGGACCAGACUGAGGAACGCAGCUUGCCGCAAGGCCGGGGUUCGCCCACGUACAAGCUUAGGAUGUUGACAUAAUGGCUUUAAACGACCCGUCUUGAAACACGGACCAAGGAGUCUAACAUA